AGCGAACGCUGGCGGCAGGCCUAACACAUGCAAGUCGAACGCACCUUCGGGUGAGUGGCGGACGGGUGAGUAACACGUGGGAACGUGCCUUUAGGUUCGGAACAACACAGGGAAACUUGUGCUAAUACCGGAUAAGCCCUUCGGGGGAAAGAUUUAUCGCCUUUAGAGCGGCCCGCGUCUGAUUAGCUUGUUGGUGAGGU
This 200-nucleotide ribosomal RNA is filed under the name uncultured bacterium. RNAcentral's name for it is "partial 16S ribosomal RNA". It matches the Rfam family "Bacterial small subunit ribosomal RNA", at positions 29 to 258 of the family's 1533-position model. The record is from RNAcentral.